CACGUGUGCACCUGCCUUUAUCUGGGGGGAAUUUCGAGGAGAUUAAUACCCCAUAAUAUGUUGAAUGGCAUCAUUCGACAUUGAAAACUCCGGUGGAUAGAGAUGGGCACGCGCAAGAUUAGAUAGUUGGUGAGGUAACGGCUCACCAAGUCUACGAUCUUUAGGGGGGCCUGAGAGGGUGAUCCCCCACACUGGUACUGAACACGGACCAACUCCUACGGGAGGCAGCAGUGAGAAUAUUGGACAAUGGGUGAGAGCCUGAUCCAGCCAUCCCGCGUGAAGGACGACUGCCCUAUGGGUUGCAAACUUCUUUUGUAUAGGGAUAAACCUACCCUCGUGAGGGUAGCUGAAGGUACUAUACGAAUAAGCACCGGCUAACUCCGUGCCAGCAGCCGCGGUAAUACGGAGGGUGCAAGCGUUAUCCGGAUUUAUUGGGUUUAAAGGGUCCGUGGGCGGAUCUGUAAGUCAGUGGUGAAAUCUCACAGCUUAACUGUGAAACUGCCAUUGAUACUGCAGGUCUUGAGUGUUGUUGAAGUAGCUGGAAUAAGUAGUGUAGCGGUGAAAUGCAUAGAUAUUACUUAGAACACCAAUUGCGAAGGC
This 600-nucleotide ribosomal RNA is filed under the name uncultured bacterium. RNAcentral's name for it is "bacterial SSU rRNA". It matches the Rfam family "Bacterial small subunit ribosomal RNA", at positions 114 to 722 of the family's 1533-position model. The record is from RNAcentral.